CUACGGGUCGCACCAGUGGGGAAUAUUGCACAAUGGGCGAAAGCCUGAUGCAGCGACGCCGCGUGAGCGAAGAAGUAUUUCGGUAUGUAAAGCUCUAUCAGCAGGGAAGAUAAUGACGGUACCUGACUAAGAAGCACCGGCUAAAUACGUGCCAGCAGCCGCGGUAAUACGUAUGGUGCAAGCGUUAUCCGGAUUUACUGGGUGUAAAGGGAGCGCAGGCGGUACGGCAAGUCUGAUGUGAAAGCCCGGGGCUCAACCCCGGUACUGCAUUGGAAACUGUCGAACUAGAGUGUCGGAGGGGUAAGCGGAAUUCCUAGUGUAGCGGUGAAAUGCGUAGAUAUUAGGAGGAACACCAGUGGCGAAGGCGGCUUACUGGACGAUCACUGACGCUGAGGCUCGAAAGCGUGGGGAGCAAACAGGAUUAGAUACCCUCGUAGUC
RNAcentral lists this ribosomal RNA (439 nucleotides) under uncultured bacterium. Its description in RNAcentral is "partial 16S ribosomal RNA". It matches the Rfam family "Bacterial small subunit ribosomal RNA", at positions 339 to 795 of the family's 1533-position model. The record is from RNAcentral.